UGCAAGGCCAUAGACACAUCACGACAUGUCUCUUGUCCUGGUGUGUUAGAGUUCUUGUAAAAAAUAUGGUCUUAAUUCACUGGCAAGGGCCUGCAGUGUGCUGUUAAUGCCCAGAUUAGAGACAUAC
Small nucleolar RNA from Ochotona curzoniae (black-lipped pika), 127 nucleotides. RefSeq annotates it as small nucleolar RNA SNORA3/SNORA45 family. Lineage: Eukaryota; Metazoa; Chordata; Mammalia; Lagomorpha; Ochotonidae. The record is from RefSeq and is a predicted model, not a curated record. The transcript has a single exon.